UUCUGGUUGAUCCUGCCAGUAGUCAUAUGCUUGUCUCAAAGAUUAAGCCAUGCAUGUCUAAGUAUAAGCAAAUUAUAUACUGUGAAACUGCGAAUGGCUCAUUAAAUCAGUUAUCGUUUAUUUGGUAGUACCUUACUACAUGGAUAACCGUGGUAAUUCUAGAGCUAAUACAUGCUAAAAACCUCGACUUCGGAAGGGGUGUAUUUAUUAGAUAAAAAACCAAUGCCCUUCGGGGCUCCCUGGUGAUUCAUAAUAACUUAACGAAUCGCAUGGCCUUGUGCCGGCGAUGGUUCAUUCAAAUUUCUGCCCUAUCAACUUUCGAUGGUAGGAUAGUGGCCUACCAUGGUUUCAACGGGUAACGGGGAAUUAGGGUUCUAUUCCGGAGAAGGAGCCUGAGAAACGGCUACUACAUCCAAGGAAGGCAGCAGGCGCGCAAAUUACCCAAUCCCGACACGGGGAGGUAGUGACAAUAAAUACUGAUACAGGGCUCUUUUGAGUCUUGUAAUUGGAAUGAGUACAAUUUAAAUACCUUAACGAGGAACAAUUGGAGGGCAAGUCUGGU
Molecule: ribosomal RNA, 562 nt
Filed under: uncultured Sclerotinia
Lineage: Eukaryota; Fungi; Ascomycota; Leotiomycetes; Helotiales; Sclerotiniaceae
Description: SSU rRNA
Rfam family: Eukaryotic small subunit ribosomal RNA
Source: RNAcentral